Molecule: long non-coding RNA, 10507 nt
Organism: Hipposideros armiger (great roundleaf bat)
Lineage: Eukaryota; Metazoa; Chordata; Mammalia; Chiroptera; Hipposideridae
Exons: 7
Source: RefSeq, a predicted model, not a curated record
CGAACCGGGCGGGGCGGGCGCCUCCGCCUGCCAGCCGCUCCCGCAUUAAAAUUUCAUGGGCGCUGCAGUAGCUACAAAGAAGACGCUUGCUGCGCUCGGGGGACCAGAGGGAGGGAGGCUGCGGACGAGUGCGGGGAGGAGUUUGCGAUGGGAGGUGCUUGCAUGGGCUCCCCCAGUUCUGCGCUGUGAGCCCGGGCACAAAGAGCCCUCUGCACUCGUGCCGCAGGACCACGGACCCGAGCGCCUGCGAAUGCUCCAUUCCUGGGACCCCAAUUUCAGAUGUCCGGCGUUCUGUGUGGCUCCAAAGGGGUGGGAGAGAGCCCGAAAACCCCGUUCGUUGAGGAGAAGAAUAAUGACUGUGAUAAUAAUACAUCCGUUUAUGGAGAGCUUACUCUAUGCCAACUAAAUAAAUGCUCAGUGCUUUGCAUGCGUUAUCAUAACAGUCCCGCAAGGUGGUGGUCAGAUCGUCCGUUGUGUGAACAGUGCCCCGAACUCUCCCCUCCGCCCCUCGCCUAGAACCAUGGGGCAAAAUGGUUUUCCUGAAGACACGUCGCCAGGCCCUAGCUUUGGGUGGCAUUGAACUCAUCCUGUGCCGAGUUUCAUUCAUUUUAUGUUGAAAGAAUUUUGCCGCUGCAGGCACCGCCCUGCCCACUCAUGUGGUCCCAGACACGUUCACAUGGCCGCCAUGACCCUCACAGCAUCAAAGGAGCAACCAAGGUGACUCUUUCUCUCCUUCUGGGCACCCCUGGGAUGGUAGAGACCAGCAUCAUGCUAUGUGCUCAGGCCCACCAAGAAAUUCAUCCAUGCUAAGACCUCCUGCAUCUCAGAGAGUGCAGCAAGUUCCUGGGAUAGAGGAGAGAGAAGGGAAUUUCUGAGUGCUUCUGGACGUUCAAGACGACACUGGGAAGCAGCCUUGCAGAUAAGUAUUCAAACUUUGCAGCCUGCAGCCUACCAGCCUGCCCUCUCCUGGUCUGUGCAGGAAAAUGUAGUAACCCAGAAUCUCCAGGUGGGAGGGGGAUUGGUGAUGCAGCUGUUCAUUUCUCUCCCUCCAUGCCACAAAGAAAGAGCUUUGUGGGGCCCUGUAAAGGGUAAUUGUCACACCCCACUUUUGGCAUCAAGGCUAGUAUUUCAUAAACCCCACCAUCAGGAGCUUCUGAGGCGCUGAGGUUAACGACUUCAUCUUGAGCGCUUGUAGAGCUGGUGUCAGAAGGAGGCUGGAGGCUCCUGUGAUAGGGGCUGGCCCGCCUCUUCUCAGUUCUGGCCCUUUGUCAUCAUAUUGAUAAAACUCCGACAGGGCUCCUUUGCCUGGCAGUCAAGGUGGGGGGGGGGCGCGUGAGCACUGUGCACUUUGCACUCUUCUGAGUGCAAAGGUCUGAGUACACCCCCAGCCCUGGACCUGUGCCCCAAGUCCCAGGUGCUGACAGCAAGCUCUGAAAAUAUGCUGAGCGGAACCCCGACUCGCCUGGCCCAGGUCUACCAGUCAAUGAAGGUAGCUUAGCCGUCACCAAAAGCAAAACCUGGGAGAUGGUUCGGGUCAGGAUUAGUGGGAGUUUGAUGGUGGGCAGGGUGGGGGGCAGAAAAAGAACUGGCUGAGCACAGGGGCCCCUGGCAUUUCCCACCCACUGCCUCAAACUCUGGGUUACUACUGUGCAUCUUAGGUGACUGUCAGGGCUAGAAGGGCCCAUAGCCCAGACUUUCCAGGGCCACACAGCAAGGCAGAGCUGGGAUUAGAACGCCUCAUUCCUGACUCUGUUCAGGUUCUCCUGGAUCACAUUCUGCUGUUGUCAGGGACCAGGGAGGUGGGGGAGGGACGUUCGGGGGCGGGGGAAGGGUUGUGGAGGGUGGCAUGCCCGGGCCCCAUCUCCCUGGCUCCCCAGCCUGCUUCUUCUUAGUGGAGAGGUCCGGCCAGGCCAGGGCCGGGGGAGGGGCCCGGGUGCGGUUUUCUCCUGCAGUGUGGUUGGCUCUUUUGUCUUCUAGGAUGGGCCUGUGGGGUCUACAGAGGAAGAAGCCAGAAGCCGGGCCCAGGCCGCCAGCAUGUUGGCUGGGCGCUGCCAGCACAAAUGUGGACCGAGCCCCUUCUCCCAGCCUGAGGAUCCAGAAGUAAACACCAGAGCUGUGUUGCCGCUGUCUCAGAUCUUCAUGUAAGAAAGUGCUUUAUCACAGUCUCAGCGCAGGAGUGAGCUCCCCGUCCUGGGAGGCAGCUCUGCCUUGCCACACCUCCAGGAUUCCUGGCCUGGUCUUGUCUUUGGAGCCCAGGUGACUCUGGCCACAGUGACACAGGCAGCAGCUCUUGGUGGUUUCCUGGAACCCCGGACCAUUCCCCCAAGAUCUUAUUCUUCCCAACUCCCGGGAUGGAGCCUCGCGUGGACAAAGGACCCUCCUGAUUGGUGCUCAGCUGAGGACGGGACCUGGCUCUGGAGGUCAGCUCGAGGGGCGUGAGGGUGGCAGGCAGCCCUCUGUCCCCUCUGCGCCCUCCUGGACCUUGCCUGCUGGGCCCGGAAGCCAGCUCCUGACCUGUGAGGACUUGUUUCCUCCUCUCGUCUAUGCUGGUGAUGAGACAAAUCUCGGCCUGGGCAGAGGCCCCACUGACUGUACCCUCCCUAAGGCCAGGUCCCAAUGGACCCUCCAGCACUGGGGCACGAACAUGGGAUGGAGUCGGGAGGAACUGCCAGUGGGAGGGAGGCCAGAUGCAUCUCAGUGAGCGCCGUGGGCUGGAGUGUGUCUUGUGCCGCCAUUUGCCUUGUGAGUGAUCUUCAUUUUGGGGGUGUUUUUUGGAUAGAGCUUCUUCUCUUUCUGAUGGUCAGGGGGAGGAGGCGGUCAGUGUCUGGGAGGAGCCUGGGCCGUCCCCCAUGUUCAGCUCUGGGAGGGGGAAUGGCUGUGCUAUCCUGAAAGGGGAGGGUUUUCGAGAGAGGAGGAUACCCAGGCCAGGGGGUGUCGCCAGAAAGAGACAGACACUGGGCCUGUUCCUACCAUCCAAAGGGAACAGGCUGCAACCAGCUUUGCCCCCAGGCUUGAGGGUCACUCAGCUUGAUUUCUGAGUCCUAUUCCUGUUGCACCUGAUCCUCGAUUCUGUCCUUGUGGGGCAAAGGCAGGCAAGGCAGCCCCCAUGCAUGCACGUGCAGCCUCCCCCAUCACAGAGCUUCUCUUGCACGCCCACCUCUCUCUCCAUCCUCUGCUUGUUCUAGUCCCCUCCAGAGGAGCUGGUCCCAGUGCUCACACAAGAGCAGCCGUGGCCUUCCUCAGGCACAUUUAAAAGCUGCACGUCCUUUCCCCAGGGUGGGGAGGGGGCCUAUCUAUUAUUAGUUUGCUGGAGCUGCCAUCACAGAAUACCACAGACUGGGCGGCUUAAACAGCAGAAAUAUAUUGUCUCACAGUUCUGGUGGCUAGAAGUCCGAGGUCAAGGUGCCAGGCUUGGUUUCUCCUGAGGCCUCUCUCCUCAGCUUGCAGAUGGCACCUUCUUGCUUCAUCUUCACAAAGCCUUUUCUCUGUGCACACAGGCAGGGGGAGGAGGAGGGGUGGGGGGUGAGAGGGAGCGGGGAGCGGGGAGAGGGAGAGAUUUUGUGUCUCUUCCACUUUUUAUAAGGACACCAGUCUUAUCAAAUUAGAGCCCUACCCUUAUGCCCUCAUUAAGCCUUAAUUACCACCUUAAAGGUCCCAUUUCCAAAUAUAGUCACAUUGGGGGGUAGGGCUUAAAUCUGUGAAUUGGGGGAGGGACACAAUUUAGUCCAGAACAGGCAGUCACCACAAACGUGGAAAGCUGGAGCCAUCUCCUCUGUACAAUCUCUGCCCCCACAGGGAGGGGGAAGAGGAACAGAGGUGCGGAAGUAGUCACGGGGGUGCAAGGGGGACUGUGCUAAGGUGGCCCUGGGUCUCCUGGACACACAGAACUAGUGGGACCUAGGGCAGCGAGGAGGAGCUCCCAGGAGAGGGAUGUCCCGGAAGAGCCUGGGCUUUGGACCGACGGUGUGUACUCUGCUGUACAACCUUGGGCAAGCUAUCUCACCUCUGUGAGUCCGAUUUCCACUCUGAAAUGGGCCAUCUGUUCCCCUGGGGGCACAGGGGGGAUUCAGUGAAAUCACAUGCUUGCACAGCACCUGUCUCUUGAAAGGUCCUCAUUAAAUCCUCCCAUCCACCUGCAAGUUUAGAUUUAGGGCUUAUCUAUUUUUGGUGCUCUGGACCAUAAACGCAGCAUCUUCAGAUCCAGAGGCAAUUUUGACUAGCCUGUCCCAUCCUGUUUCCUUAAGAUCUAAGCGACUUGGGGAAGUGGCUGUAUUUCCUGGCCUCCAUAGUCGCUCCAAAUGCUUCCGAGGGUAUUUAAAUUCUACUCUCAUCAGAAUUGAGCAUCUAUUAUACUUCGGGCCCUUCCCUGUGUUAGCCGCUUGGGGGAGAUACAGGUGAAGGUCUAGGCAUAGUUCCAACAGAACCAGCUCGCCACAGACAACUGGAGAAUGCAGCAGAAAGCAGUCUAUGGGGGGUGGGAGUGAGAUCUCAGAGUGGGCUGCAGCAGUCCGACAGGCCUCCCAGCAAGGCUGACCCAAUCCAGGCCUUGAAGGAUGAGAAAGAUGUGGUUUAACUGAGAGCUUCCAGUGGGGAAAUUAGAGCAGAUUCCCAAAGUGAGUUCUAGGAGCUGUCACUGCUCUUAAAAAAAAAAAAAAAAAAAGUAUGUCAAAUUCGGCAUGUUUCUGUAGUGCAGGAGUUAUCAGAGCCUUUAAAAUGCCAGUAGGAAGGAAUUGUGAAUACUCAAGGACAGACAGAGGAUGAGGUGUCACCCAAAACUUUACUACUUUACUGGACAGGACCUUUUUUUUUUUUUUUAAUAGAGUAUCAUUUAGAAUUGUGGGAGAUGCUAGGCUGGGUUUUCUGUGGAAAAACUAUAGCAAUGAUCUGAGAUGACAUGAGGAGGGCCCGGACAGGUGCUCUGUAGCAUUGGCUGGAAAGGCAGCAGACCAGGAGGGGCUGGGGCGUCUGACCUUGGAUCCAGGGGUCAAGCAAGCUCUCUGCAGUUUUGGUAUGAGGAGGAGACAGGCUGGUAGCAGUUGGAACCGCCAGAGGCCUGGCUGUGGGUGAUCCGAAGAGAUGUCCACUGGACAUGGUGGCUCUGGGGCAUCAGACCUUUUGUGGGAAGAUGCUGGUGUGUGCACGUGUGCGUGUGUGUGCACGCGUGAGUGUGACAGGAUCCAGCUCUUUGGGAAAUGGGCUGACCAGAGCCGGGCAGGGGGGUUUCUAGCCAGGACAAGGAAGGACUGUUUCCAGGGGGAAUGAAAGUGUUUGGCGGGAGGGUCUCUGAGGCCCAUGGGAAGUCAAGAAAUCGGGAAGCCAAAUGCUUCUGGGCAGGGUCCGCUUGGAUAGGCUUGAUUCUGGUAGGGCUGAGAGGCUGGGAGGCAGACCCCCUGCCCUGGUCAGGCCCAGCUCCCUGGCUGGUGGGGACAGGAGGCCUCGAGCUGCAGCCGAGGGGCCCGGGCAGUGUUGCAUGGUGUGAUUAACCUACUAACCCAGGGCUCGGCCGGGACGCUGUGGUGUGUGACGAGGUGCCUGGCCUUCUGCCCACUAACUAACCCACUAACCAGGCCCGAGCAUGCCCUACUAACUCCCCGCAGCCAGACCCUACUAACCUUGCAGCUCAAGGGCCUUUCAAGGGGCUGGGACGUGGGGAGCACUCGAGGCUCUGGAAGGCCCGGCCCAUGGCCUGGGAUCUCUGUGCAGACCCACAUUCCAGGGCAAGGCAUGCAAAUAAGACUCGACAGCUCUGCCACUUCCUGCUGGGUGACUUUGAGCAAGUCACCUCACCACUCUGAAUCCAUUUCCUCAGGUCCUGACAAGUGGCAGGUACUUCCAAAGGGUGAGGGUGGGAGUGGGAGGCCCAGAAAACUUGGUUGACCCUAUUCCCUGCCUAGGCCCUGGUCCCUUUGGGUGUUCUGCACAUAGACCUUCUGCCUGGGGCCAGACACUUGCUUUGAACCCCUAACCGUCUCUUCCCCCCAUUCUUCCUCCUCCUCAGCUUUCUCUUCCAUAGGCAGCUCUUUUGUUCGAUUACUAACCCGUCUAACCUGGGGGUGCCUCAGGUGCACCUCGACCACCCCUUAACAAACUAACGGACCUGUGUGUGUUCUUCCUUUUAUCCUAGUGACUCCUGUGUGUGUCUGCUGAGGUGCCCCUCUCUGCUGGUGCUGUGCUCUGACUUACUAACCCCAGCCCCUACUAACCCUGUUUUCUCUUCUUACUAACCCAGCCCUGCCGAGCUCUGGGCCCCCCUGGGGGCUGGUCCUCCCUCCUUUUGGCAAGCAGAUGCUCUGGGGCUGGCCCUGCAGACAGAUGCUCUACUUGGCUGCCCCAAUUGGCUGUGAGUUCAGUCCACUGGGCCAGGUCAGAGGCAGGGGACAGCCCUAUUGACCAUACCAGUGGCCCAGAGGAAAAGGUGGUCAUGUGGACAUGGGAGGCUGGCCUCUGAGCACAAGCAUCUCUCUUCUGUGCAGAAGCGUGCUUGCCACUGGGAGUGGGUGGGACCAGGGAAACCUCUGGGGUGUGAGUGUGGAGGCCUAUGGGUCUAGAGUGUGGAGCACUGAGCUUUUCCCAGCCAAGGGAGCAGAGAGAAGAGGGCCAUGGUUCUUUCUUUGGAGGGAAGUGAGGGUAGAAUUGUCCCCAUUGAAAAGUGUGGGGGUGGGGUCAGUGUUGCACAGGAAGCCAAUGGGGUGUGUGGGGGCGUGUCCCACACCACAAGUCAAAAAAGGGACAUGUCCCACAGCGGAAGUCAGUAAGUGGAGACUUCCCUACACUGCAAGUCAAUAAAAGGGUCUUUUCCACCCUGGAAUCCACUGAGUGGAGCAUUUAGUACAGGAAGUCAGCUAGGAUGGGAGGAAGAGCAUUUCUUAUACCGGAAGUCAGCGAGAAGGGAAUUUCUGGCCUUCUCACCAAGUGGUGAGAAGGAAUAGCCAAGAGAUGAGUGAGAGGGUCCUUCCCCACAACAGGAAGGUGGCUAGAGGGCCCCUUCCCUUCCCGAGGCCGGGAGGUCUGGCUUUCCCACACUGAAAGUCGAUGUGGGCCAUGUUUCCUGCUGGAAGUCAUUGAGAAGGACUGUCCACACCAGGAAGCUUGAGAAGGCUGGGAAGAAAGAUGAUGAAACCCGGGCUUGGGGUUUGCAGAAGGAGGAAAUGGGAAACAAGAAAUGAACCCCAGGGCGCCACAGGUUCCUACAGCCCCUCAGGCCAGACAGGAGCUCACCCCUGGCUUCCUGUCCUGUUCCCACCCACAUCCUGGCCCCAGCCUGCCUCCCCCAGAGCCCGCCAGCCGCUAAGCCAGGGCCACACCUGGGGGUGAUUUUAAUCCUCACCUCCAGUAGGCACCUUGGUCUCUUUGGGCUAAUCUCUGGCUCCUUUGCACUAACUCUUGCUCUCACUCAGCUAAUCCUUGCCUUGCCCUGGCCGUCCCCGAAGGGCUGACCACUAACAGCCAACCCUGCCCAUCUUGGGACUCCAGGCAACUGGUCUGGCUCUGACCGGCUCUUAAUUAACCUCUCCUUCAUCUCGACUAACGCCUGCACUCCUGGUCUGUUCCUUUCAGCAGAAACUAACGGCUUGUGGAUUUCCUUCUGACUAACAACGGGUCUAACACUCCUUGUUACUAUUACCAUUAACAGCUUGGAUGUCGGCAUGGCUGGGAUGGGACUAACACAGGUUUGAAAUUGGACUAACACAGGGAGAUGUGUAGCUAGUAGCGUUGGAUCGCUCUGGGUCAGAGCCAUCCAAAGUCAGUCAAUACCGUGGUCCUCUAAAGGAGGUGCUGGGCUCGGGUGUGGCUCAGGCUUGAUGGAGGAGUGAUGUCUGCUGGGGUGUGGUCAAAAGCACAGUCAGCCUUCCAAGGCAUUGGCUACUGGACAGAUCCUGUUAAACCUUCAUAAUCUGCAUAUGGGUUUUGGUUCUUUGAAACAAUAGCCUCGAAGCUCCAAUAGUCCAAAUGAGUGGAUGCAGCACUUAGAGCCCUCAGAAUGCCUCCCUGGUGUGUACAGAGGCUGUGCCAUUAUGUACGGAAGGGUCACCAGUCACCAGGCCAGGGCCUAGAGUCCUUGAUUUGGGGACUUGAGAGUUUUGGAAGCCCUAGGACAUAAAGCUUUAGAUUGGAAUAUUCGGAAGGGUUAUAAAUCCAUCACCCAUUUACACAGUAAAAAUGAGCUCAGCUUCCUCUUCUAUGCAAUCUAGCUGCGUUGAGAUGAUGAGCGUUUGGCGGGAAGGGAGUUUAGAAGGGCCGAGGGAGGAUUCUUUGGGAGCAGAGAGGGGUCCAGGAGGCCAAGGGUUCCUGGGUGGGAGCUAGAGGUGGCACCCGGUUGAAGGGGGCAUGGGAAGAGGUACUGUUUUUACUGGUCCGUCUGGUAGUCAGGGCCUGUGAGAGAGGACAGCUCAUGCAGAGCCUGGAGGAUUGGAUCAGCUCAGGGUCAGGGUCAGCUCAGAGGCUGGCCUGGAGGCCUUGUAGGCAAGGGGCUUGGGUCAUUGGAUGCUGGCCUGGGGCCGAGAGCCUCUCUGACAGCCAUGGACCCAGCUAACCGAGUGGAGCUAGCAGCGAGGCCUGAAGGGUGAUCCAGAGGCCUGAGUUGCAAAGAGAACAAGAAGCGAAUGCACCGGGAAGAGCUUGAGAAGCUGCAUUGGCUGCUGGCAGGACUGGGGAUGGAGCGGAGUGGGAAGCACAUGUCUGCUGCCCUCUAGUGGCCGACUUGCCCCAUUUCACUAGAAGCAGGAAGCUCAGGAACGUUUUCCGUUCCCAGGGAUCUCCUCUUUAUUCAUACAAAGAUUUGAUGCUGCUGAGGACCUACUAUGUGCCAAGGACUGCUCUGGGUGCUGGGAUCCACACACAAGCUUCUUUAUUAUAUAGCUUAUAUAGCUCAGUGAGGGAAAUGGAGAAAUAAACAAGUAAAGUAGUGAGAUAGGUGCCAUGAAAGGAAUGGCUGGGGCUGUGGAAGCACCCAAGAGACAAGCGAGGAUGAAGCGCACCUGUUCUGUGCCAGGUGUGGUGCCAGGCAUGGAGGAUGAGUGAUGGAUGACUAAACAACAUCCGGUCUUCAGAGCUUUGAGGCUAGUGUGUUGGGUGGGUGUCAGUAGCGUGGGGGUGGACAGUCAAGGUAGCCUUUCUAAACAGGAAGACAUCUCAGCUGAGAGCUGGCUGGGCAGCAUGUGGUGGGGAUGAGUUCCAGGCAGCAGGAAUGGUGGACUCAAAGUUCUGGGGACUAGAGAGAAUCAAAGAGAUUCUGGAAGGUUCAUGGGGAAGGUAGGAGACAGGUGGGAAGUGGACAUGUACCAGGCUGUGUUGCCAGGGAGUUUGAGCUUUGUCUUAAGGGCAAUUGGGGGUCAUGGAUGUGAUCUUAGGAGAGGAGAUGUUGAUUUGAAUUUUAGGCUGACAAUUUGGCUGUUCGGGCCCAGGUGGAAUUCUGGAGACUAUAAUAAGUUCUGGCCAAUUUUUAGGUAAUAUUAGAACUUCUUGAAACUCGGAGGGCCCUUAGGUCCGUCUGGAGAGAAACAGGAUCUAUAAACGCUUGCCCCUGCUGGAGGGAGUGCUGCCAUGAUUGGAAAGCAAAGAGGGCCAUGUUCGUGCCAGGCAGGGACUUUGCUGAGGUGACAAUGGUGCCUUGGAGGAGGAGCAGUCUCAAUAGUGUAUCAGCCCAGGCGCCUGGUGGUAUACGGCUGCCAGACAAGAUCUGAGGGGAUGUGGUCACGGGCUGCAGGUCUAAGAAUAUCACUGGAGAGGGAGCCCAUUUGUCAUGGGUGACUGCAAGGGCACCAGCUAACAUGAAGGAGUAAGCUCCCAAGAGGCUGAUCCUGGUCCCAGGGAGGAAAAAUAUCUGUCUUGGUGGGUAACGGACCUUCUGUCCCUAGAGACAGAAGGAUUGGGACUAGGCCACCUUUAAGAUGGAUGAUGGCGGUGAGAUUUUAGGAGCGUGCGUGCGUGCGUGUAUGUGUGUGUCUGUGUGUCCAUCCUCAAUAUGGGAGGAAGUUGAGCUCAAGUAGGCACACUGUUUACCCGCCUGACUUGGGCCUGCUGAUGUUCACUCUGGCCAUGAGUCUACUGAACAUCAAGCUUAUUAGGAGCAGGAGCUCAUGAGCUGGGGAAUUGGUCUCCCAGAGGCAUCUUACUCUUUUCAUAGGCAGCAUAGAGAGUGUGGCCACUGUGGACCGUGCUUGAGGGCUGUGCUGCCACAAAUGCUGACAUUGAGCUGGGAGAAUGCCCAGGGUGGGGGAGUAGUCUCAUCCCAACAAAGGACCCCAAAGGCCCUCUUGAAAGUCUUUCCAGGGACUCACUGUUUUACUUUAACAGAGUAGAGAAUACAUGUUUUGUGUUAUUGCCUCCUGGGGAUGUUGAAUGUGGGAACAGAAAUUCUGUUGUAGAUUAAAAAUCAGAUUUUUAACCUGGAAUCAUCAAUGGAGUGCAAACUUGGCUUUUUUGUUGUUGUUGUUGUUUUCACCCAUGAAUGUUGCUUCUUCUGUGUAAAUACCAUUUUGAUAUUAAAAACCAAUUCACACCCAAA